GACGAACGCUGGCGGCGUGCUCAACACAUGCAAGUCGAACGGAAAGGCCCUGCUUUUGUGGGGUGCUCGAGUGGCGAACGGGUGAGUAACACGUGAGUAACCUGCCCUUGACUUUGGGAUAACUUCAGGAAACUGGGGCUAAUACCGGAUAGGAGCUCCUGCUGCAUGGUGGGGGUUGGAAAGUUUCGGCGGUUGGGGAUGGACUCGCGGCUUAUCAGCUUGUUGGUGGGGUAGUGGCUUACCAAGGCUUUGACGGGUAGCCGGCCUGAGAGGGUGACCGGCCACAUUGGGACUGAGAUACGGCUCAGACUCCUACGGGAGGCAGCAGUGGGGAAUAUUGCACAAUGGGCGGAAGCCUGAUGCAGCAACGCCGCGUGCGGGAUGACGGCCUUCGGGUUGUAAACCGCUUUCGCCUGUGACGAAGCGUGAGUGACGGUAAUGGGUAAAGAAGCACCGGCUAACUACGUG
Molecule: ribosomal RNA, 468 nt
Filed under: uncultured bacterium
Lineage: Bacteria
Description: partial 16S ribosomal RNA
Rfam family: Bacterial small subunit ribosomal RNA
Source: RNAcentral